GGUUCAGUAGCUCAGUUGGUAGAGCGCUUGCCCGUUAAGCAAGAUGUCGCAGGUUCGAGUCCUUCCUGAAUCGCCA
This 76-nucleotide transfer RNA is filed under the name Candidatus Faecinaster equi. RNAcentral describes it as "tRNA-Asn". It matches the Rfam family "tRNA". From Rfam's summary of the family: Transfer RNA (tRNA) molecules are approximately 80 nucleotides in length. The record is from RNAcentral. Lineage: Bacteria; Pseudomonadati; Bacteroidota; Bacteroidia; Bacteroidales; Bacteroidaceae.